This 494-nucleotide ribosomal RNA is filed under the name uncultured bacterium. Its description in RNAcentral is "partial 16S ribosomal RNA". It matches the Rfam family "Bacterial small subunit ribosomal RNA", at positions 28 to 507 of the family's 1533-position model. The record is from RNAcentral.
GACGAACGCUGGCGGCGCGCUUAACACAUGCAAGUCGAACGGAAAGGCCUGCUUUCCCUUGUGGGUUGCGGGUACUCGAGUGGCGAACGGGUGAGUAACACGUGAGUGAUCUGCCCCCAACUUGGGUAUAAGCCUGGGAAACUGGGUCUAAUUCCCGAUAGGACUGCAGGGUGGUGCCUGUGGUGGAAAACGAUUUUCUAGUGGUUGGGGAUGAGCUCGCGGCCUAUCAGCUUGUUGGUGGGGUAAUGGCCUACCAAGGCGGCGACGGGUAGCCGGCCUGAGGGGGUGGACGGCCACAUUGGGACUGAGAUACGGCCCAGACUCCUACGGGAGGCAGCAGUGGGGAAUAUUGCACGAUGGGCGGAAGCCUGAUGCAGCGACGCCGCGUGGGGGAUGACGGCCUUGGGGUUGUAAACUCCUUUCGACCGCGAGGAAGCCACCUGGUUGGAAGGGUGGUGACGGUAGUGGUAGAAGAAGCACCGGCUAACUACGUG